This 253-nucleotide ribosomal RNA is filed under the name uncultured bacterium. Its description in RNAcentral is "partial 16S ribosomal RNA". It matches the Rfam family "Bacterial small subunit ribosomal RNA", at positions 524 to 776 of the family's 1533-position model. The record is from RNAcentral.
UACGUAGGUGGCAAGCGUUGUCCGGAUUUACUGGGCGUAAAGAGCGCGCAGGCGGUUUGAUAAGUCGAAUGUGAAAGCCCCCGGCUCAACUGGGGAGGGUCAUUCGAUACUGUCCGACUCGAAGGCAGGAGAGGGAAGCGGAAUUCCCGGUGUAGUGGUGAAAUGCGUAGAUAUCGGGAGGAACACCAGUGGCGAAGGCGGCUUUCUGGCCUGUUCUUGACGCUGAGGCGCGAAAGCCAGGGGAGCAAACGGG